AGGGCUCUGAGCACCAGCACACUGGCCUUCCCCGGGGGUCGCUGGGUGGAUAAGCCGGGUAGCUGCCCCAGAGCAGAGUGCCCACGCCCCCUCCCACUGACCUGGAGGCCCAUCCCCAGUCCCUUGGGUGGUGAGAGGAGAGAGGCCUCUCACGGGAUGUGCAGAGGUGGAGUUGAUCUCUAGGCAUGGAAGGAAACAAAACUUUGGCUUCCUGGGGAUUUCUGACCUGCCCAUCAGGAUGCUGCUUGAGAAAGCUAGGGGCCCGAGGUGCCCACUACUCACCUGCCGCUACCUCGAGAGACACAGGGCAUAAUAGUUACAGUUUACACCUUUUUAUUGCUGAGUGGGAUCCCAUUGUAUGAAAUAGGACAAUUUGGCCACGUGUUGAUGGACAUUUUGCUGUUUCCGGGAUUGGACUGCUGCUGUUUUCUGAAGUAGCUGUAUCAUCGUGCAUUUCUACGCUCAGUGACAAGAGUUCCAGUUGCUCCACAACUUGACCAACACUCAGCUUGUCAGACUUCUGAUGGGUGUGUAGCGAGAAGCAGCGGUGCAAUGUCUCCAGGACCCAGGGAGCUGAGCAGGAGAGGGUGCUACCGCCCAAGGGGAAAGGGAUGGAAAGCAAGAGAGCUUCCUGGCAGAGGAGACCUUUGAGCUAUGAUUGGAUUCAAGAUGUCUCUUGGGGACUGCAGGGCUCCCAGGCCACAGGAGGACAACAAGUCCAGAGCCCAUGUCAUCAGACUUUCUCAAGUCACAGGCCAAAUUGGAGAGGCCACAUGCCCGAAGCCACCCAGAGGGGUCAAGCAAAGCCAGGACUCCAGGCAGCAAAUCUUCCUUAUGUCCUUCCUGCAUGUGAGGCCCUGAGCAGAGUGCCAGGGAUGAGGAGGAACAGACAGAGCAGCAGCUGCCCUCACCGCCCAGUGGCAGAUGUGAGCAAGUUAUCAACUCUAGCACAACAGGAGAGCCCUUACCUGCAGCUGGGGAGACCGGGGACCUCCUGGCUGAAGUGACCUUUAAGCCAAGGCCUCAAAGCUGAAGAGGAAUGUGUUUUCCCAAGAUAAAUGCAAAGGCUGAGGAUCAAGAAAAAAACAGGUGUGAGUUUGGGUAUGUUGUGGUCUCAGUUUCCUCAUCUCUUGAAUGGACUUCCUGCUC
This 1149-nucleotide long non-coding RNA is filed under the name Equus asinus (donkey). Its description in RNAcentral is "lncRNA (ENSEASG00005034213.1)". Lineage: Eukaryota; Metazoa; Chordata; Mammalia; Perissodactyla; Equidae. The record is from RNAcentral.